Long non-coding RNA from Patella vulgata (common limpet), 494 nucleotides. RefSeq lists it as uncharacterized. Lineage: Eukaryota; Metazoa; Mollusca; Gastropoda; Patellidae. The record is from RefSeq and is a predicted model, not a curated record. The transcript is spliced from 6 exons.
GCCAACACGAUUUUUACUCUAUUCCACCAUAGUAAUGACUACUUUGAUUGUAUUUGUCGCCAUCUUGGCUUGUGCAUGGUCAGCACCAUGUGUACACAAUAACCACGCCGAUUUAACAGAAGAACAUGUUAUUAAUAUGGUUCUAACGAUUGCUGAUGGGAAUAGUGAUGGUGUUCUCAGUGGAUUAGAUCUGGCUAAAUUCUUUUAUGACUAUGAUACUAACGGGAAUAAUAAAGUAGAAAAGGCGGAAUUUGGAAAUGGAUGGGUUUCAACUUUCCACGAUGAGAGAGCGUUUGCAGAACACGUGUUUGAUUUUCUGGAUACAGACGACGAUGAUGCACUAGAUGCCAAUGACGUUACUGCUCUGAUUGAAAGAGUAGACACAUCAGGCGAUGGGUUGAUUCAAGUAUCAGAAAUGAAAACAUUUUUAGAAGCUAUUUUCAAUGCUUGUUAAUAAGAUUACAGGAAACAGCCAAUAAACCACAAAUAAACAG